AGAGUUUGAUCCUGGCUCAGGAUGAACGCUGGCGGCGCGCCUAACACAUGCAAGUCGAACGAUUAAGACACCUUCGGGUGUGUAUAAAGUGGCGAACGGCUGAGUAACACGUGGGCAACCUACCCCUCUCUCUGGGAUAGCCUCGAGAAAUCGUGGGUAAUACCGGAUACUCCGGAUCCAUCGCAUGGUGGAUCCGGGAAAGCUCCGACGGUGAGGGAUGGGCCCGCGGCCUGUUAGCUUGUUGGUGGGGUAACGGCCUACCAAGGCAAUUAUGGGUAGCUGGGUUGAGAGACCGACCAGCCAGAUUGGGACUGAGACACGGCCCAGACUCCUACGGGAGGCAGCAGUGGGGAAUCUUGCACAAUGGGCGAAAGCCUGAUGCAGCGACGCCGCGUGCGGGAUGAAGGCCUUCGGGUUGUAAACCGCUUUCAGCAGGGACGAGGCGCAAGUGACGGUACCUGCAGAAGAAGCCCCGGCUAACUACGUGCCAGCAGCCGCGGUAAUACGUAGGGGGCAAGCGUUAUCCGGAUUCAUUGGGCGUAAAGCGCUCGUAGGCGGUCCGUUAGGUCGGGAGUUAAAGACCGGGGCUCAACCCCGGCCCGCUCCCGAUACCGGCGGACUUGAGUUUGGUAGGGGAAGGUGGAAUUCCCAGUGUAGCGGUGGAAUGCGCAGAUAUUGGGAAGAACACCGGUGGCGAAGGCGGCCUUCUGGGCCAUAACUGACGCUGAGGAGCGAAAGCUAGGGGAGCAAACAGGAUUAGAUACCCUGGUAGUCCUAGCCGUAAACGAUGGACACUAGGUGUGGGGGGAUGAACCUUCCGUGCCGCAGCUAACGUAUUAAGUGUCCCGCCUGGGGAGUACGGCCGCAAGGCUAAAACUCAAAGGAAUUGACGGGGGCCCGCACAAGCAGCGGAGCAUGUGGCUUAAUUCGAAGCAACGCGAAGAACCUUACCAGGUCUUGACAUCCUUUGAAGCUUUUAGAGAUAGAAGUGUUCUCUUCGGAGACAAAGUGACAGGUGGUGCAUGGUCGUCGUCAGCUCGUGUCGUGAGAUGUUGGGUUAAGUCCCGCGACGAGCGCAACCCUUAUUGUUAGUUGCCAGCAUUCAGAUGGGCACUCUAGCGAGACUGCCGGUGACAAACCGGAGGAAGGCGGGGACGACGUCAGAUCAUCAUGCCCCUUAUGACCUGGGCUACACACGUGCUACAAUGGCGUAUACAACGAGUUGCCAACCUGUGAAGGUGAGCUAAUCUCUUAAAGUACGUCUCAGUUCGGACUGCAGUCUGCAACUCGACUGCACGAAGUCGGAAUCGCUAGUAAUCGCGGAUCAGCACGCCGCGGUGAAUACGUUCCCGGGUCUUGCACUCACCGCCGGUCA
This 1375-nucleotide ribosomal RNA is filed under the name uncultured bacterium. RNAcentral describes it as "bacterial SSU rRNA". It matches the Rfam family "Bacterial small subunit ribosomal RNA". The record is from RNAcentral.